This 839-nucleotide ribosomal RNA is filed under the name uncultured bacterium. Its description in RNAcentral is "bacterial SSU rRNA". It matches the Rfam family "Bacterial small subunit ribosomal RNA", at positions 9 to 887 of the family's 1533-position model. The record is from RNAcentral.
GAGUUUGAUCAUGGCUCAGGAUGAACGCUGGCGAGAUGCUUUACACAUGCAAGUCGUACGAGAGUCUUUGACUCAAGUGGCGGACGGGUGAGUAACACGUAAGAAUUUGCCUUUAGGAGGGGGACAACAACUGGAAACGGUUGCUAAUACCCCAUAUGCUUUCGAGUGAAAUGGAUUUUUCCGCCUAGAGAGAAGCUUGCGGCUGAUUAGCUCGUUGGUGAGGUAAUGGCUCACCAAGGCGACGAUCAGUAUCUGGUUUGAGAGGACGAUCAGACACACUGGAACUGAGACACGGUCCAGACUCCUACGGGAGGCAGCAGUGGGGAAUUUUCCGCAAUGGGCGAAAGCCUGACGGAGCAAUCUCGCGUGAGGGAUGACUGCCUAUGGGUUGUAAACCUCUUUUUUCAGGGAGGAAUAAAUGACGUGUACCUGAAGAAUAAGCAUCGGCUAACUCCGUGCCAGCAGCCGCGGUAAUACGGAGGAUGCAAGUGUUAUCCGGAAUCACUGGGCGUAAAGCGUCUGUAGGUGGUUUAAUAAGUCAACUGUUAAAUCUUGAGGCUCAACUUCAAAAUCGCAGUCGAAACUAUUAGACUAGAGUAUAGUAGGGGUAAAGGGAAUUUCCAGUGGAGCGGUGAAAUGCGUAGAGAUUGGAAAGAACACCGAUGGCGAAGGCACUUUACUGGGCUAUUACUGACACUCAGAGACGAAAGCUAGGGUAGCAAAUGGGAUUAGAUACCCCAGUAGUCCUAGCCGUAAACAAUGGAUACUAGAUGUUGAACAGAUCGACCUGUGCAGUAUCAAAGCUAACGCGUUAAGUAUCCCGCCUGGGAAGUAUGCUC